UGGGGAAUAUUGGGCAAUGGGCGAAAGCCUGACCCAGCAACGCCGCGUGAAGGAAGAAGGUUUUCGGAUUGUAAACUUCUGUCCUCAGGGAAGAAACAAAUGACGGUACCUGAGGAGGAAGCCCCGGCUAACUACGUGCCAGCAGCCGCGGUAAUACGUAGGGGGCAAGCGUUGUCCGGAAUGACUGGGCGUAAAGGGCGCGUAGACGGUUGUCUAAGUCUGGAGUGAAAGUCCUGCUUUUAAGGUGGGAAUUGCUUUGGAGACUGGAUGACUUGAGUGCGGAAGAGGUAAGUUGAAUUCCCAGUGUAGCGGUGAAAUGCGUAGAGAUUGGGAAGAACACCAGUGGCGAAGGCGACUCACCAGAACGGACCUGACGGCAAGGGACGAAAGCUAGGGGCACGAACC
This 405-nucleotide ribosomal RNA is filed under the name uncultured prokaryote. RNAcentral's name for it is "bacterial SSU rRNA". It matches the Rfam family "Bacterial small subunit ribosomal RNA", at positions 355 to 774 of the family's 1533-position model. The record is from RNAcentral.